GUGGGGAAUAUUGGGCAAUGGGCGAAAGCCUGACCCAGCAACGCCGCGUGAGGGAAGAAGGUUUUCGGAUUGUAAACCUCUGUCCUUGGUGACGAAGGAAGUGACGGUAACCAAGGAGGAAGCCCCGGCUAACUACGUGCCAGCAGCCGCGGUAAUACGUAGGGGGCAAGCGUUGUCCGGAAUGACUGGGCGUAAAGGGCGUGUAGGCGGCCGAUUAAGUCUGGAGUGACAGUCCUGCUUUCAAGGUGGGAAUUGCUUUGGAGACUGGUUGGCUUGAGUGCGGAAGAGGUAAGUGGAAUUCCCAGUGUAGCGGUGAAAUGCGUAGAGAUUGGGAGGAACACCAGUGGCGAAGGCGACUUACUGGGCCGUAACUGACGCUGAGGCGCGAAAGCGUGGGGAGCGAACAGGAUUAGAAACCCUUGUAGUCC
RNAcentral lists this ribosomal RNA (428 nucleotides) under uncultured bacterium. RNAcentral's name for it is "partial 16S ribosomal RNA". It matches the Rfam family "Bacterial small subunit ribosomal RNA", at positions 354 to 796 of the family's 1533-position model. The record is from RNAcentral.